UGGGGAAUUGUUCGCAAUGGGCGCAAGCCUGACGACGCAACGCCGCGUGGAGGAUGAAGGUCUUCGGAUUGUAAACUCCUGUUGCUCGGGACGAAAUGCUUCGACCUAACACGUCGAAGUUUGACGGUACCGAGUGAGGAAGCCCCGGCUAACUCUGUGCCAGCAGCCGCGGUAAUACAGAGGGGGCAAGCGUUGUUCGGAUUUACUGGGCGUAAAGGGCGCGUAGGCGGCGCGGUAAGUCACUUGUGAAAUCUCUGAGCUUAACUCAGAACGGCCAAGUGAUACUGCAGUGCUAGAGUGCAGAAGGGGCAAUCGGAAUUCUUGGUGUAGCGGUGAAAUGCGUAGAUAUCAAGAGGAACACCUGAGGUGAAGACGGGUUGCUGGGCUGACACUGACGCUGAGGCGCGAAAGCCAGGGGAGCAAA
Molecule: ribosomal RNA, 424 nt
Filed under: uncultured bacterium
Lineage: Bacteria
Description: bacterial SSU rRNA
Rfam family: Bacterial small subunit ribosomal RNA
Source: RNAcentral